GAUCCUGGCUCAGGAUGAACGCUAGCUAUAGGCUUAACACAUGCAAGUCGAGGGGCAGCAUGGUCUUAGCUUGCUAAGGCCGAUGGCGACCGGCGCACGGGUGAGUAACACGUAUCCAACCUGCCGUCUACUCUUGGACAGCCUUCUGAAAGGAAGAUUAAUACAAGAUGGCAUCAUGAGUCCGCACGUUCACAUGAUUAAAGGUAUUCCGGUAGACGAUGGGGAUGCG
RNAcentral lists this ribosomal RNA (229 nucleotides) under uncultured bacterium. RNAcentral describes it as "partial 16S ribosomal RNA". It matches the Rfam family "Bacterial small subunit ribosomal RNA", at positions 15 to 235 of the family's 1533-position model. The record is from RNAcentral.